RNAcentral lists this non-coding RNA (23 nucleotides) under Arabidopsis thaliana (thale cress). The record is from RNAcentral. Lineage: Eukaryota; Viridiplantae; Streptophyta; Magnoliopsida; Brassicales; Brassicaceae.
AGUGUGAAUGGUGGUCGUUGCUU